Molecule: ribosomal RNA, 437 nt
Filed under: uncultured Oscillospiraceae bacterium
Lineage: Bacteria; Bacillati; Bacillota; Clostridia; Eubacteriales; Oscillospiraceae
Description: bacterial SSU rRNA
Rfam family: Bacterial small subunit ribosomal RNA
Source: RNAcentral
ACGGGAGGCAGCAGUGGGGAAUAUUGGGCAAUGGGCGAAAGCCUGACCCAGCAACGCCGCGUGAAGGAAGAAGGUCUUCGGAUUGUAAACUUCUUUUAUGAGGGACGAAGGACGUGACGGUACCUCAUGAAUAAGCCACGGCUAACUACGUGCCAGCAGCCGCGGUAAUACGUAGGUGGCAAGCGUUAUCCGGAUUUACUGGGUGUAAAGGGCGCGUAGGCGGGGAGACAAGUCAGGUGUGAAAUCUAUGGGCUUAACCCAUAAACUGCAUUUGAAACUGCUGUUCUUGAGUGCUGGAGAGGCUAACGGAACUCCUAGUGUAGCGGUGAAAUGCGUAGAUAUUAGGAAGAACACCAGUGGCGAAGGCGGUUAGCUGGACAGUAACUGACGCUGAGGCGCGAAAGCGUGGGUAGCAAACAGGAUUAGAUACCCUGGUA